This 493-nucleotide ribosomal RNA is filed under the name uncultured bacterium. RNAcentral describes it as "bacterial SSU rRNA". It matches the Rfam family "Bacterial small subunit ribosomal RNA", at positions 30 to 518 of the family's 1533-position model. The record is from RNAcentral.
AUUGAACGCUGGCGGCAUGCCUUACACAUGCAAGUCGAACGGUAACAGGUCUUCGGAUGCUGACGAGUGGCGAACGGGUGAGUAAUACAUCGGAACGUGCCCGAUCGUGGGGGAUAACGGAGCGAAAGCUUUGCUAAUACCGCAUACGAUCUACGGAUGAAAGCAGGGGACCGCAAGGCCUUGCGCGGACGGAGCGGCCGAUGGCAGAUUAGGUAGUUGGUGGGAUAAAAGCUUACCAAGCCGACGAUCUGUAGCUGGUCUGAGAGGACGACCAGCCACACUGGGACUGAGACACGGCCCAGACUCCUACGGGAGGCAGCAGUGGGGAAUUUUGGACAAUGGGCGCAAGCCUGAUCCAGCCAUGCCGCGUGCAGGAUGAAGGCCUUCGGGUUGUAAACUGCUUUGUACGGAACGAAAGACUCUUUCUAAUAAAGAGGGUCCAUGACGGUACCGUAAGAAUAAGACACCGGCUAACUACGUGCCAGCAGCCGAC